This 84-nucleotide transfer RNA is filed under the name Araneus ventricosus. RNAcentral describes it as "tRNA-Leu". Lineage: Eukaryota; Metazoa; Arthropoda; Arachnida; Araneae; Araneidae. The record is from RNAcentral.
UGUCAGAAGUGGGACUCGAACCCACUCCCACAAGAGUGGACUUCGACCUGAACGCAGCGCCUUAUAUCGCUCGGCCAUCCUGAC